Molecule: non-coding RNA, 210 nt
Organism: Pelobates cultripes (western spadefoot toad)
Lineage: Eukaryota; Metazoa; Chordata; Amphibia; Anura; Pelobatidae
Source: the annotation of a GenBank genome assembly
CACCAUGAAACCACUAUUCCUAAUAGCUAUUACAUCGGCCAGUAGAGUAUCAGAGAUCCAGGCAUUGUUCUGAAGAACCUUGAUUGAUUAUGGGAGUGUUCAUUAAUUGCACCUGUGUGGGAUUUGUAUCCCCAUAAAGGCACACCCCUAACUCACUGAGCUUGCUCACAUUACUUGAAAGCAGACUAUUAAGUAGACUCUUUCAAAUAG